Molecule: long non-coding RNA, 42773 nt
Filed under: Fragaria vesca (wild strawberry)
Lineage: Eukaryota; Viridiplantae; Streptophyta; Magnoliopsida; Rosales; Rosaceae
Description: long non-coding RNA (FVES_LNC003210)
Source: RNAcentral
CAUGUUUCACAUAAUAAACUUUUAGUUUGCAUUGAACAACCAGUUUCAACAGUCUAAGCACAUUAGUACAAGCUAGGAUAUAUAAUGAUCAAUGAACUACUUGACUUUCUAACUUCACUUUCCGGGAACAAAGUUGGUGGCAUAUGACCAAACAUUGUUGUUAACAGGGUCAGCCAAGUGAUCAGCUAGGUUCUCAAUCGGUCCAUUUCCUGUCACAAUAGCUUGCACAAAAAACCCGAACAUGGAGAACAUGGCUAAUCUUCUUGAGCUCCUUCACUUUAAGCUCAGCAAAAGCCUCAGGAUCGUCUGCAAGCCCUAAGGGGUCAAAGCUCCCCCCAGGGUACAAAGGGUCUACAACUUCACCGAGAGGUCCUCCUGCAAUUCUGUAGCCUUCAACUGCACCCAUCAAGAUCACUUGUGUUGCCCAGAUUGCCAAAAUGCUCUGAGCAUGAACUAAGCAUGGGUUUCCCAAGUAGUCUAGUCCACCCUCACUGAAGAUUUGAGCUCCUGCCUUGAACCAAACAGCUUCUCCGAACUUGCUCCAUUACGAGCUAGGAAUUCAGGGAAGACACAUCCUAGAGCACCGAGCAUGGCCCAUCUUGAAUGGAUGACCUCGAGCUCACGGUUCUUGGCAAAUGUCUCGGGAUCGACUAAGAGCCCAGCUGUGUCCCAACCAUAGUCACCGGGAAACUCUCCGGUGAGAUAAGACGGGGCUUCAUUGGAGAAUGGGCCCAAGUACUUGACACGGUCAGGACUGCACCAUGGGCUGCCGGAUGACACAUUUUUGGACUUGGCUGCGGUUUUGCGCAUGGUGAUUCUGCCCUCACCGAGGAGGUUGGAUGUAGAAGAACCAAGCUGUGAGAAGGGGAGAGAGCCAUUGUUGAAGCAGCCAUAUGAGAAAAUGAAAGUGUUUACGAGUGUGUAGAGGGCCGAGUGAUUGUUAUGUUUUGCAUAGAGAAGCAUGGUGGGUAUUUGUAUAGGUUUGAUGCUAGAAAGUCGUUAUCUUUCUGCUAUCUUCAUCCCUUUUCUCACUGGUGAAAUGAAGUUCAAAGAGUUUCAAUCCUUUGAUCAAUUCCAGUUGGCAUGAUAGGCUCCAGUUAUUUAGUUCCACAAAGAUAGCAAUUGGAAAAUAGUUAUGCUUUGAUUUCUGACCAAGUAGAAUUAGCCCUACGAACAUGGCCGUCUUUUUGCAAUAAUGAUCAUAAUGACUCGAUUUCCAGUUGGUUUGAUAUGCACCACCAGCAUAACGUACGUAUAGAUACCAUAGAACAUCAAAGGAGAAAGAAUAAUGAAUUUUUCGACUAGAAAUGAGGAUGUUAAAACUAGACACAUGAUUACAAAAAUCUGAAAUAACAUUAAGAAUCUCUAUAAUUAAGGAUACAUUCAACUAAACAUAAAUUAGAAACAAAAUAUUACUCUAACGACGACUCAUUUGGCAUAUGUAAACCUUCAGACCAAUGUUCUAAAAAAUGCUAGGCGCUAGUCGGGCGGUAGAGGUGAAAUUUUGAAACCAAAAACCGAAAAAAAACCGAGCCGAAAACCAAACCGAAACUGGAAAAAACCAAACCUAAUUAAGAAAAACCGAACCGAACCAAAUUAGUUUGGUUUGGUUUUUGGUUUCGGCCCUUGAAAAACCGAACCGAACUGAAAAACUGAAUAUCCCUAAAACGACGUCGUUUUUUGUCUUUAUUUUCAUAUUAAAUAUUUGAUUUGAACAAUAUGAUUUUUAGGUUUUAUGUUCUAUAUAAUUAUCUGUUUGUCUUUUCUAAUAUUUUGCUUUUUAUUUUCAUUUUAUGUACAUAUAGAAAUGUUUUAGGUGUCGUGUAUGCAAAGUAUAGAGAGUGAUAUGUUACCUCUAAAAUCGAAGACCUUAUUAUUGCGAGCUUUAGAUGACAAAUUCUAAUAUUUAAUUUAUUUUUCUCUUCUUUAUUCAAAUUUAUGAUUUUUAAAAUUUAAAAUUCGGAAUUUAUUUGGAUGAACUUUAAACUAUGGAGUCUAUAUGUUGUGUUCAAGAUGAACUUACAAGUUUUAAAAUUAUGGUUUCAUGGUGUGCUAGUGUGGUCAAUUCUCAAUACUUUCGAAAUUAUUGAGUAUUAAACUUUCAAAGUAUCUAUUUGGUUUAUAAAUUGUUGGUUUGUUGAAGAAAUCAUUGUCAAAAAUUUUAUUGAUAUAUUAUAUAUGCUUAUAAAAAAAAACUAGUAAUGGAAGAAAAAAAAGACCUAAAAUACGAUAAUUUUUUACCAAGGCAAAAGCAUACAAAUUUUAAGAAAAAUUAUUUUAAAAAAGAAGAAAAACAAAAAAAAAACUGAACCAAACCACGGUUUGGUUUGGUUUCCGGUUCAAGGUCUCAAAAAAUACCAAACCAAACUGAAUUUUUUAUUCGGUUUGGUUUCAGGUUUUAUGUGAAAACCAAACUCACCCCUAUCGGGCGGACAGCCGGUGACUAGCGCUUAAACGGGUCAAUCGGGAGAUUAAUCAGUUUUCUAACUCUCUAGACGGAAACAGUGAAGCACCGCCUAACACGUAGGCGUGGAUUAAUCGGCUAUAAGCGGAGAUUUUUAAACCAUUGCUUGAGACAACAACUAGUCCUUAAAACUUGUAUGACGAAAUUGACUGUGGCUCAAAUUAUAAGGAGCUACAUUUAGAAUAUCUGCUGCUAUGGGGCAAGUAAGCAAAACAUGGGAAGUAUCUUCAUAAGGACAUGGGCAUGAUAUGCAUCAAGUAUCACCUGUAUAACCCUUUGUAGUAAGUGCACGUACCUCUCAUUGGCAGUCGGUUAAAGCAAGCUUUCCAGAAGCAAAUACGCACCUCCUCGGUACUUUUGUUUUCCACAAUCGUUUCUGCUAUAAGCCGUUUUUAUGGUCAUGUCUUUUUUUUUUUUUUUUUUUUUCUGUUUUAGGUAGAACAAAAUUUUCUUGCCUUGCUUUUUUUUUUCAAUAUGAUAUUUGUUUGCUCAAUACCAUUUUGGUCUAGUGACAUAAGUCUCUCCUUGUAAAUGAGAAGUCGUGAGUUCGACUCAUAGUAUUGUAGCAUAUUAUUGUGCGUUUGAUCCAAAAAUAAAAUAUGAUCUUUAUUUGGGAUCAUAGCGUUUUUUUGCUUUUUGCUUCAAUAUGCAUGUGGACAUUUUAUGUACUUAUAGGCUCAAUUAUGGUGUGAGCUGAAAUAUGUAGUAGGAGUGUUACCUGUACGUGGAUUAUUUGAUCUUAUUUACCCUCUUUACACAAGACAAUGCAUUGAUUCAUGAUGUAUCAUUUAUUUGAAUGGAUUGGAAUAUCUUCUUUAAUUCAAAAAUUAAUUAAAGAUCUCUUUCCUUAAGAUUGUGAGCAAACUUUUGCAUUUAUACAUAAUUAAUGGCCACUAUGAGCAAGUAAUAUUUAUUUUCAUUACCUAUUAAAGUUCAUUCAUCGCUAUAUAAGCAUGGAUGUAGCAAGAAAACUCCUAUAGUUUAUUCUAAGCCUGAGCCAGAGAUAAAAUGAUGAGAAAAGCAUUGUGGCAGCUCUACUGUUUUCUGCUUUUCCUUGUCCUAGCGCAUUGCAUUCUCCAUUGUGGCAGCCACCCUGUUUGGGGAAGAAAGUAUUUCGUCCGUAUUGUUAACAAUCUCGAAAACAACGAAGUGCUUAACUUUCAAUGUAAAUCCCUAGAUGAUGUAAUUGGUCCGCGUACUCUUCCUCCAUUUGGUGAAUUUGAAUUUAAAUUUCACUUCGGCCCUGAUACAGUGUUUGAAUGCUCUACGUGGUACUCAAAUCGCAUGGCUAAUUUUACAGCAUGGGAACCAAUUGUUCAACCUUUAUGAGGCGGGGCGCAUUUAAUUUAACUAUAUACUAAAGUAUGGUUUACUGUUCAUAAUCACUGUUCACAUCACAUGAAUAGUGCACUGUUUGGUGGGUGUGAUUCUGUUUAUGCCCUCUGUUUCUAAAAAACCACGAAAUUACCAUUAACCCUAGAUAUAUGAUUGUCUUCUAUAUAAUUAGUUGUUGUUGAGGAUGUUGUGGGUUGGGAAGUAAUUUUUGAACUCUUAUCUUCAUUACCGUGUCUCAAUUUUUUUUUUUUUCAUAGAUCUCACAAAGGGUAUUGUUAUCGAAGUCAAUCUAAAAUAGGGUAGUGGUAUCAUAGACCAAGGUUGAGCAAGUUUAUUUUCUUAAUUAUUGAGGUGAAACAAUUUUGGUUCUAUUUUAGCAACGGAAUAUUAAUUGAAGUACAAAUAUCUUUGAUUUGGCCAAAGAAAUUAUCUGGUUGCAAACCAACUCCUAAUUAACAAAACGUACUAAGUUAAUUUAAAUAUCGUGUGAUGAAGUACUAUGUUAUAUAUACUAAUGCAAUAUAUUUGGUUUUUGUUUUGUUUACUUUUAAUUUACUUGGUUUCUCAUCUUUGGUUUUAGUUUUGUUUACUUUCAAUUGAGUUGGUUCCUCAUUUUUUGUUUGGUUUUUAUGUCAAGUUCUCAUCUUUGACAUUUUGAGAUCAGUCUCUUUAGGAGCUUGAGAUAAAUAUUCUUUUCAGUUAAUUAAUCACUUGCUUUGUGUGUGUGUGUGUGUGUGUGUUUUGUUUUUUUUUUUUCUUUACUNUAGUAUNAUAUANCUUUAUUAGUUAGUUUUUAGUUUUUUUUUUUUUUUUUUUUCCUAUCUUUAGUUUCCUAUAAAUCAAGUUUUCUAAAAAUUGCGUUUUUGGUGAAAAACAGUUAAACAAAUAUGAGCAUUUUGUAUAGUCAAAACUAGAGCUAUAUUUUCGAUCAUACUGCUUCAGAUAAGUUGUUCUAUUUUGUGCACUUACAAGACAUUUACUAUUUUGGAUAGGUUACAACACUAGAUGUUUUGUAUUGAAGUUCUAUGAAGUACAUAUCAAAAACUUUUUCAUCAAUCAACUGAAUCAUUAACCAGUUUUAUAAAUAUACACCGCGCCAAGGCGCGGGUAUCAACUCUAGUUGUAUAUACAGUGUGUGAUCUGCUACUGUGUUCAGGUACAACAUAGCAACUCGACGAUAUGUAGGAGUCAUUAAUUUUUGGACUGUAGUACCAUGAAAAUGUUUGGGACAAAUGUAGUUUCAAACAAGAAAUAUUUAUAAGCUACAAGUAUGUUUUUUUAUUUUUUAUUUUUUUUAUAUAUGAAUAAAGGGCUGGUGCGGCUGUUUUCAAGCCUUCAUUAAUGAAACUGUCGAAUACAAGAGGGGCAUAUAUAAAGCCUAAACCCCUGAUUACAAAGACCCAAAAUAAUAUCGAGAAUCUCUAUAAAAUACAUGUAUUCUGAUAAACACCAACUAGCAAAUAGUACUACCCUAAAGACGAAUAUAUUUGCUUUGUCAUAUCGGUGACAUAAUGGAAAGAUCACUAGAUAUGUAACACGAUUACUUAUCCUAAUGUCUGAUAAAGAAUAGUACACAAGAAGUUAAUUAGCAAAGAAUAUUAGAAUACUUAUAUAUACACCAAGUUCUAAUACCAAACGUGAUCGAUCCAAUUUUUUUAUUUUUUUGAUGAAAGGGAUUGUAGUAAUCAAACUGGGCACAAAUUAUCUACCCAAACUACAGGAUUUGGAGCUGCAUAUGUUGUACUAGCCAAUCUGUGCGCCACUGUAUUGCAAGUUCUACUACCCAUGAGAGAGAGUCAUGGAUGUCACAAAGUAACCCUUCCAGCCCUACAUAGGUACCUUGCGUAUAGGAGAUAACCAAAAUUGCCUCUAGACAAUCUGUUUCUAUGAUAGCACAUACACAAUGUUUUCAAAAGUUUUAGUCCUUCUUUGAUAGCAUAUACCUCCGCCUUCUUUGCAGAGACUACUGGGGCAAUAGGAAUGACCAAAGCUGCCUUGAAUUUUCCUUGAUUAUCCCUGAGUAUCCCUCAAGUGCCUCCACGAAGAAAUGUUGGAAGAAAGCUACCAUCCACCAUGAGUUUGGUUUCCAUUUCUUGUGUUGUAGUUGGGGAGUCUGCCUUACUGGAGGUUGUAUUUGAACUUGUUGGUUUUCAUUGAACUAGGCCAUUGCCCAUGCUUGUACUUCUUGUGCUGUUUGAUGCUUUUCAUUCCAUAGUAUAUUGUUUCUGUUAGGCCAAAGAGACCACAAGCUGAUGAGAAGUUUGGCAAAGAGCUCCUUUGGCAUAUGUAAACCUUGAGACAACAACCAGUCCUUAAAACUUGUACGAGGAAAUUGAAUGUGGCUCAAAUUAUAAGGAGCUGCAUUUAGAAUAUCUGCUGCUAUGGGGUAAGUAAGCAAAACAUGGGAAGUAUCUUCAUAAGGACAUGGGCAUGAUAUGCAUCAAGUAUCACCUGUAUAACCUUUUUUAGUAAGUGCACGUACUUCUCAUUGGCAGUCGGUUAGAGCAAGCUUUCCAGAUGCAAAUACGCACCUCCCCGAGUCCCCGUAAUUUUUGCUUUCCACAAUUGUUUCUACUAUGGGUCCGUUUUUUUUUUUUUUUUUUUUUCUUAGUUUCAGGUAGAACAAAAUUUUCUUGCCUCUUCACAAAAACAUUUCUUGCCUUGUUCGUUUUUUUUUUUUUUUUUUUCAAUAUGAUCUUUGUUUGUGAUCAUAGCGUUUUUUUGCUUUUUGCUUUAAUAUGCCUCUGGAUAUUUUAUGUACUUAUAGGCUCAAUUGCGAUGUGAGCUGAAAUGUGUAGUGGGAGUGUUACCUGUACGUGAAUCAUACACAAGACAGUGCAUCGAUUCAUGAUGUAUCCUUUCUAUUAAGAAAAACAUAAGGGUCUUAUGACUUCUACUUAGUUGCUGAUUCAUAGAAUUAUUACCACUCUUAGGCUCAGUUUAGGAUUGCAUUUUUGGGUUAAAUCCUGCUUUUUCUCACCCAUUUAUGACUGAUAGCCUGUUUGGUAAGCAUUUCAUAUCUGCGUUCUUUUAACGAUUGCGGCCGGAAACCGCAAAAAUGAAAAGCAGCGGAGGACCUGCUUUUUCUUAUCCAGCGUUUUGUGAACGUGAAUCAAAUAGCCUGUACAUUCAUGAAAUUCCAGAAACAUCCCCACUGAAAUUCAAAAGUCAAACCCCUCGGAAUUAAUUCUCGUUCUCUUCUUCUGGGUUUCUUUCGUUUUUUGCCUUCUUUUGCAGCUCCUCAUCCCCUUGCCUUCGUACCUCUCUCUUCACAGCUAUUCACUUCUUCUUUGAUGGAUUACUGUAUCAUAUUAUUUUAUAUAUAGAUCUGUAAUUGAUCGUAAGGUGAUCGAGGUUUCCAUCGAAUCGCAUACACUUCGUAAUUUGAUGAGAAGAACAAAAGAUCCAUAUGAGUCAAAAGAUCUGUAUCUAUUUUUGAAAUUCUUUGUUUUUGAUAUCAUGUUUACCAAACAUUGUAGCAGUACUUAUUUUUACCUCAACACUUUCAAAUAUAUGAUUUACCAAACAUUAUACCGAGAUUUUUUACAACAGAUUAUUUUUACAACAGAGUUAUUUUAAAGUAGAGUUUAUAUACCUCAAUAUCAAACUAGGCUUUAUUGGUGGACAUAUAACCAAAAUGACGGUUUCUGAUGUCCUAGAAAUGAAAAACAAAAAUUUGAAAGAGUGGCAUUAUUUUUUGAGCAAUUUAAUGACAUCACACAUUAUAACCUAUACUAAAGACCUAUCUCUAAUGUACCGUUCAUUUUAUUUGUCCUUAUUCUCUCGAUAAAUUUUUCAGUAUUUCCGAAAGACCAUGUGGCAUUGCCUGGUUAUCCAAGCCUAUGAGACGUUGACACGUGACACUUUUUAGACAACUCGCAUCAAGGUUAAUUCAUUUAGUUUUCAACUGCAGUAAAACAAACCCCUCAACUAUCGCCGUUAAGUGAUAGUGUGAUAAAAAAAUGUAAAUCUCUGAAUUUUGUUCGUCCUCUCGCCGUCUGCCUUUCUCUUUGUGUUCUUUUCAGCAGAAGCACAAGGAAGCUUGUGGGUUCAGUUAAGCCUUGUCGUCGCCCAUAAGAUCCACUUUGUCCAACAAUUGGGAUUUUCAGUUCCCCGUAGCUAUUACCCGAUCUCCUCCACGCGUCCCCAGGUUUCUUCUCUUCUCUUCUCAUUUCCCAAUUGUUUUUCUUGCUCUUUGGGUCUUGCUAGUUUUUGUUAAUUUUGGUUAGAGAGUUGAAUGAUUGUGAUCAGACUCACUUUUCGGAGAAGAAAAGAAAAUUGAAAAUGGGAGAACUGAGUUCAAAGAAAGAGAAUUUGGGAAACGAAAUCCGCACAAACCGACGGAGGUGAGUAUUCGACGAUUUUGGUUAGUUAUAUGGAAUUGAUGAAACUUCGACGGCUCUCCCUUCUUGAAUAUGUUGUUUAUGGGAUUUGAUUUCUACACCAAAGUGAGGAAAAUUCUAUUAAGCUAUCAUAUAUUCAUAUUGGCUAUGAUUGAAUGGUACAUGACCAUAAUAGCUUGAAUUCCAGUAAAAGCUUUGUGGAUUUGGGAUUUGAAGUUUGAGGUUUUAUUUUUAUUUUUUGGAUUUGAAUUUUGCAGUUUUUGAAAUUUUACAUGUUAGUUGAUGUUGUUAUCCUUUUCAUGUUAAAGUCCAAUGUAUGAUUUAGCAGGUUAGAUGAGAUAUUGGAUUUGCUGAACCUUCAGGUAGUUAGAAAAUAUGCCAAUGUCUCCAAUGGAGGGGUGCCAUUUAAUUAGAAAGUAAACAUCCCACAUUGUUAUCAGCCCUAGACCACCAUUUUACACAUUUCAGACCAACAAUUUGAUUGCUUGUUUUCUCUGCUAUGUACUCAAAUCUAUUACAGCUACUGGGAUAGCUGCAUCACCAAAACUAGUUCUUUGUGUAUCACAGCUUAUGACUCUAAUUGUUUUACCAUCAAGGUCACACAGAAUACUUGAUUUUGGAUUAGUCAUUUACUUAUCCAUUUUGUCAAAUAUGGGUUCUGCUGAGAAAUGCCAGGAUGGCAAGUAAUUAAGCAACAAUUUUUGGAUGAUCCUUCUGAAACAACUAUAUACAUAGCUGGUUUGCAGGCUGCAUGGAAGCUUGGUGCUGCAUUCAAAUUGGUUAUCAUUUGAUUAUGACACUGCGUCUAGUAUCUGCUAAGUUUAUUGGUCUUUAGGUUCAAAAGUUUCGUUUUAUCGAAACUCUUAUGAGUUUUAUUUGGUUUGCAUAUAGUUCUCUUUUGAAGCUUGUAUUAUAUCUAAAUAUUUCUCAUGUUCUCUUUUUAGAUCUACCCCAAAUCCUGUUUUUUCUUUUUUUGAAUUCUGGGUGCACAGGCAGUGAGAUUGUAGUUGUCAGUGACAAACUAAGGAUAAAUUGGAAGAGCUUUAAGGUAUCUCAAUCAGUGAUUUCCUGAAUUACUUCAUUUGGAAGAGCCUUAAGAUAACUUGGUUAUUCUGAUUCCUAUAUGAUGUCUGAUAAUGUGUGGACAUGGGUGCAGGUUGAACCGUAACAGAUGAGGAUUGGCAUAGUUGAGUUUGAGGAUGAUGUGGUACUUGACAGUGAGGGUGACGAAGUUAAUGGAAGGUGACUCAUACAAGUAUGUCUCUGGACAAAAAGUGCACUGCAGGUUUGUAUAUUUGCUUCUUCUUUUUUUUGUUGUAUUUUGGUUAAUUUUUUGAUAGCAGUUGGCGUUGAACGUGUUGAUGAUAUGAAGUUUUUUUUCUUAAUGAAUGCUUGAGGAAGUAAUCUCUGCAAGACUUUGCAUUUACUAAUUUGAAUGACAAGUUUCUUGAAAUAAUUUUCAUACUACGGAGGAGUAAAGGCCGAAAUAUUUGUGCUGCUUGCAGAAUUUAGCUACAUCGACUCCCAUGAUCUUGGUUGGUCGCAUUACUGUAAGAGAAAGACAUUAGAUAAAUGGCUUUCAAACAUAUAUAUGAAGAUAGCUAGCAUCUAGGAUAAUAACAGGGUUUCAAAACUUUUCAAAUAUCGAUAAAAAACUGUGUGCUUGGUCAUAGUUAAGAUCAACUCAGUUAAAAUUGCAUAUGUGAAUGUGUAAAAUUCAAUCUUUGUGCAUAUACCAUAGGGACCAUUAGCACUCAAUAUUCAAUGAUAUAACUCAAAACAUGCAUCUCUCACAAGAAGUAAUGUUUUCAGCCAUUAACGUAAAACCUGAAGAGGAUAGAACUAUUAUGUUUCGAGUCACUUUCGUUUAACCAAAAACUAAUUAGGUCUCAUAGCUAGAAUACCAGCAUGAUGAAGAUGCCAAGGUGCAUUUGAGCAGCAGAGCAGUGAACUCCAGAUGCAAUGAACACCCAAAGUGAUAAUUGUAGAAAUAUAAUCCAUGUUACUUGAAGCAUUUUUCUCCUUAUGUGCAUAAACUAAAUGUCUAUUUAAAAGAGCUCUUACUUUGCUUUAUUGAAGGAUAUAGAUUGUGUCUCAUGUAUAUCGAUCUUUUUUUUUCUUCAUCACAUUGCUUAAUGAGCAUGCACCUUUGUUGUAUAGUCCAAUGGACUAAUUACAUUUUAUUUUUAGUUACAUUCAUGAAAUAUGUAGGAACCUCUAUGCAAUACUCUGAACAAGAAACAUGACAAGAAGUAUGUUCCAAUUUUAUAUGCUAAUUUUAUUGUUCCUUAUGUGGGAUAGAUGGGGUUGGAAGAAUUGUUGGACUGCUAAUCGAUCAGAGGAAGGCCCCAUCAAAGUGGAUGUCUAACCUGUUACUAGAGCUCUUUAAUUUGAUGAUGUAAACUCAGGUUGUCUGAGAGGGAUUUCCCCUUAGUGUUUGUUUGUUUCGUAUCAAAAAAAAGAGUGAAUGUCUAACGCGGACCAAACAAAAGUGGAGGUGUCAUCAUGCAUCUGGGAAUCAUACACCUGCUAAAUUUAUGCUUCGAAUUUCCAGUAUUUUUCCGUGUCUCAACAAUUGUAAAGUUCAUUCGUAUCAAAAAAACAAUUUGUAAAGUUCAUUCUUCAUAGAGUUGUGAGCAGCAUAUUGUAUCAUGAGGAAUUGAUGGGCUCGGAUGCAUAAUGAUUUACGUUUGCAGGAGCCAGGAGAGUUUGGUAUGCCGUUGGAACUUGGAAACCAUGUAGGUAACCAGUUUUGUUGGACAAAGAGGAUGACAAACUCUUAUUUGAAAUGGAAAGCUUUGGUAAACUAUUCAAACCAUGAGAUAUCAAUGUAGCACAAGACUCAUUUAUAUAUCCGACUUUGCCGUGUGUAGUUUGUAUAUAGAUUAUAUCCUUGCUAUGAGGAAAAAAAAAUAUAUAUCCGGCGUAAUUGGGAUAGAAAACGAUCCCCGCGCGGGAAUACCAGCUAGUACAUGGACUAAUCCUUAUAUGAACAAUUUCUAUUCGGAAAUCUAUUACAUGUAAAGCUUCAGACAUGGCAUAAUUCUAGUAACCGAAGAAGUGGCGUCUUAUAUUUAUCUGAAGCUCGUCAGGCAAAUUUUCCAAAAUACGUUCUUCAUUUACAUCCGUGGCAGAAUAUUGUUCGGCAUUUCUCACUUGCCUUCUAAACUCUUCAGGCAAGUUUCUGUACCUCAUCCACGCCUCAACAUCACGCCUCCUCAUCAACAUAUCAGACCUCCUAAAAAACCAAAAGAAUGAGAAAGGCUGAGAUGUAUAUAGAUUCUUACUAUCAGUAACCUCUUUCUCUAACAAAAAAAACUCUAGAAGAAAGAAAGUGGUAAUAAAGUCACGAUCAAACAAUAAAAAUGUGGUCAGCAUAUAGAUUCUUACUUUCAGUAACCCCUUUCUCUCAAUUAAAAAAAAAACUCUAGAAGAAAGAGAAUGGUAAUAAAGUCAAGAUCAAACAAUAAGAGUUAAGAAACAGAUUGGACAAAAAAAAAUAAAAAUAAAAAUUAAGUACCUUUGUCCAAGAGACUGGAGAAAAUUUUGCAUGUUUCCGAUCAGAAGAGCAAGGAGGAAGAGUCCCAGUCCAAUAAUUACCAUCGUAAAGAUAAUUUCACCAUUGUUAUAGCUUGGAGUUAGAUUUCCUCCCAAAGUGCUGAUUUGCUUAAUAAAUCACAGGAGAUAAUAUGUCAGCAUAAAGGUGUAACUUAUUUAUGAAAUCAUAAUAAAAUAAAGGGAAGUUAUCAGCAAUUAGAAUGUAAGGUACCUGAAACCCCCAAAACAAUGAGUAUAGAUAUUUAGUAAUGAUAUGUCCCGUAGUGAUAUUGAUAAUUGGCGCAUAGAUUCCAUAUGAGAAGUCUCCAUUGGGACUAAAACAAAGAGCAGCCUUCUCAUUUAGUCUCCGUUUAGUAAUUAACUCAUCCAGGGAAAGAUAACGAGCAUGCCAACAAUCUAUUAAGUUCGGGCAUGACUGCAUAUUAGAAUUGUGGCAGGCGUCUUGAAGACAUUGGUUAACCCUCUGGAACAAGAAAAAAAAUACAAAUGUUCUCAGUGGCAUAGCCAGAAACUAUCACUAGAAGGGUCAAAAUUUAAACAAUAAUACUAUUGCCUGUUAAAAAAAAUUAAAAAAUUAAAAAACUAUUGAAUGACAUAAAAAUGUAUGAAUUAUUACAUCAAUAAUUAAAAAGGACAAAAAGUAGGUUUUCCUAAAGCAAUUAUAAUUGUUCACGACAAUUACUCAUAUUUUGAAAUAUUUUCAUGAUGGUUUCACCGUCAAAUAUAUCUUUCUCAAUAUAUGUAAUCAUGAACAUGUCUCCCAUUCGGUUUCGCAAAUCACUUAUAUAACCGUCAUGGCAAAAAAUGCUCUUUCUACAGUGACAAUUGCAACUGGAAGAAUCAGUGUCAAUGUUAUGAGCAAGUAAACUAACGGAUCAACCUGGUUUUUCUGUUUCAACAAUUUUUUCUCGAAGCUCACUAAUUUCUUUCAUUUUUUUCCAAAGUACAUUCAUUGGAUCUAUCUCUAUUCUGAAGUACAGCGACAAUUGCAACUGGAAGAAUCAGUGUCAAUGUUAUGAGCAAGUAAACUAACGGAUAAACUUGGUUUUUCUGUUUCAACCAUUUUUUCUCGAAGCUCACUAAUUUCGGUCAUUUUUUUCCGAAGUACCUUCAUUGGAUCUAUUUCUUAUUUGAAUAGCUUGAGAUGCUGUCAACUGAUCCGUUGCUUUCUUUACAAUAUUUUUGAGAAAAUUUUCAUAAUUUCAAAUNNNNNNNNNNNNNNNNNNNNUUCAUAAUUUCAAAUAUUAAUUCUAAAGGUUUUGACUUGUUGUUUGUAGGGAGAAAUGUUUAAAGAACAAAAAAAGGAAUUACAGUUGAGAAGAAUUUAAAGAGCAUGAUAAGAGACAAAUAAAUUGUAGAAGCUUGAAUUUAUAUAGACGCAAGGUAAAUCAUGAAUCGAUUAGGAAGACAAAAAUGAAUAAUAAAUCUGUCCAAAUAUGAGAUGAAAGCAAACUUCUUUCCGAAAACUAUUUUCUUACUCCUAUAUUGAUUAGUAAAAAACAUGGGGUUAGAACUUAAAAGCUUUUCUGUCGACAAGGGUGGAGUAGUCUUGUCCAAACCAAGACAAGAUUUGGAAGGAGAUUACAAAUAUUUAAGACAAGUCUUGUCCAUAAGGGUCAAAUCUUGUUUCAAAGUGUAAUAUAUAUAUAUGUUGCCCCAACCAAUAGAAAGUUAGCUUAAAAUGUUAGAGGGUUCAAUUGAACCCUCUCGCCCCAUUGUGCCUACGCCCCUGAAUGUUCUAUUAAUUUGUUUUGACUUUAUCAUAAUUAAUUGCAUCAUAAAUUUCUUGUGAUUAUUGACUUUGGUAUAUAUUUAUAUAUUAUACUCAUUAGGUUUUUUUUUUUUUGAUCAAAUGCUCAUUAGGUAUUUAGUAAAAAUUCUGAUAUUUCUUUAAAAUAAAAAUAAAAAUUCCAAUAAAUAUGAAACAAAUAAAAAGAUAUACAAUUUAAAGACGACGUAAACCUUGUUAGUUGACUCAUAUUUAAAUUAUGGCAAUUUGUGUAAUUCUUUUGAAAAAAAAAAAAAAGAAAUCUAAUAUUUGAUCCUAGUUGGCAAUAAUUGGGUGUAAUUUAAAACAAUUUUAUGAGUGAGUUUAAUAUAAAAUGUGAUUUGAAUAUUAAGUGUAAAAUGAAAUGCCUCAUCAAACAAAUACGGGGAAAUAUGCAUCAUUAGGUUAGAUAAAAUGAAAUCUCCACACACCUGUAAGCCAAAGAGGUACCACCAUGACCCAAUGACAUGGGCAACCAGCAAAAAACUGAGUGUGUUUACAAUGAAAUUCGUCCAAAUUGACCCGAAUACAAAGAAUCCAUUCAAUGAUCGACCAGCAAGAAGGGACAAAACCCUAUACACCCUAGGAAAGUAUUGAAGAAAUAUUGCCAGGUGUAGAAGAUUCUUGGUCUCAUUUGUUCGUAGAGAAAAUCUUCCGUGCAACAGCCGCACCAGCUGACAUGUGCGACCAGCCGACCAACAAGUGCCUUGAUUUUUUCCACGCCAGCAAACUACGAAAAAGGCUCCAAGUUUAAAGUUGAAAUUUCAUUAUCCCGCCGGAAGCCAGAGUUAUAUUUAAAUUAGGAUUUCUAGGUGGUUAUUCUAAUCCAGGGAAGAACAAACGCCUCACUUUUCAGAUUACGGUCUCCUCAUUCCUCCCACUCACUUUUCUCCCACCGAUACUGAUAAUUCAUCAUCUCAUUUCCUACCGUUUCCAAAUUCAUGAACACAGAUCUUUCUAGACCCGAUUCAUGAACAUAGAUCAUGCUCGACCCGAUUCACGAACAGAGAUCUUUCUCAACCCGUUUAGUUCAUUCUCAUCGGUCAGGUAUUAUCUUUCUAUGCUGAAAUUAUGUGGCACCUCUUAUCUUCAAUCUUUUAUUCUUUGUGAGUGUAUCGUGUGGAUGGGAUGGACUGGAGAGAUAGAUAAUAGUUGAAAAGAAGACCAUGGGGAUGAGUUGGUUUUAGUCUCCAAAUUGAGGUUUAGGAGGUGGGUCAUUUUCUUGGAAUUCCAAUUUUUUGAGGUUUGGGAGGUGGUUUUUUUUGGGUUUCAAUCUGGACAUCUUACAUGCUUUGCCAUGGAAAUAGUACAUGCUUUGUUGUAUAUAGGAAUGAAUGAUGUGAACCCACCUGGAUUACUAGUCUGAUAGUCUCCGUUUGCAUAGACUUUUCUUAAUUCAAUUUUAGAUGCACACAGUUCUUUUUCCUGGAGCUUGCUUUCAGGUACUUGGAUAUUUCACACUUUCUCUAUGUUGGUCUUUUCCCUUUCAUGUAUUUUUCAGUUUGUUAGUUAUAGGAAGUGAUCAAGCACAUUCUUUGUCAUGGCUAUUUGGGAGGUUAACAGUGUCUCACUGUCUCUAUUCUCUAAAUUAGUUAAAGAUGCUUUUUGUUCAGAGCUUUUUAUUGUGUCUUUAAUUAGACAAAGAUAGUUUCUUUAUAGCAGUAGUGAACAAGGGUUUAAAGUAGAUGAUUUUCUUUUGAGUUUAUUGUUUUGUGCGUGUGUUGCAGUGUUAGAUAUUAGUAGAUAAGCUAAAGGUGAUGACGGAUCAGCCAAAAGCCAAGAGGUACAAAAAUCUCUGCUCACGGUUUACAACUAAUAAUACUCCAUCAAGUGAUAGUGACGAUGAGAUUGAGAUAGGGAGUGGGAGUAGAAAUGUGACUGUGGAUUGGCAUUGUUGACAGUUUUGGUACUCUAUGUGCGUGCAUACAAGGAAUGAAAGCAUUUCGAAGAGAUUGCCGAAGCUACAGAAUUCAAGAGAAUCACUUUAUAUUGUAUCAAUCUAUUAGCUCCGAUCGAUUAGUACUUUAUUAUGAUACAUUGUGGUGUAAUUUUGACACAAGUAAUUUUUCAUUGUGUUAAAUUUAGUUGUUACAAUUAUAAUCAAUCAAAACCUUCAUUUGACAUCUCUUUUUCAUUGUCUUCCAUUUUGUUUCAGUAGAAUGUACCUUGAGUAACAUUAUCAUAUCUUGAUCAGAGGCUUGGUUUCAUCUCUGGAUUUUGUUGCAUUAUUACCUUUUGGUUUGUGUCAAAGAUUAAAGAUAUGGUUAAAAAUUGAGAAAGAAAAAAGCUGAUGGAAAGAUACUUGAAUUUGUGAUGCUUAAACUACUAAGAUAUACUCAAUGAUCGAAUGUAAUCAUCAUAAAAAAAUAUUGUAGCACAGGUUACAUACAAAAGUUCGAUCAAAACAAGCUCUAAACAUGUCUUCGAUUCAGUUCUUAUAAAAUGCUCAUGUUAGUACUACAUCAUGAAACUUGCACACAUGACUUCAGUUCUCAUAAAAUGGUCCUCUUAAUACUGCAUCAAUGAAACCUGCACAAUUUAACUUCUGUAACUAUACUGUAAUUCAGGUUCAAUAUCAUCAACUCAAGCAUAUAAUAUUAAAAUACAGAACUAACCUCACUGAGGUUGUUGUCUAAGUGUAGGAUCAAUAGUCAAAGUCGCAGUUGGUGCAAGAUUCAACCCUGUAGUAUUCUACAAAUAUAGAACUAGUUUAUUUUCAAUAUAGCCAACUAAAAUGUAUGAAUGUACUAAGAUUUCAAAUAUACAUAUACCUGGUUUGAGAAAGGCAUCUGACCAUAACUAACAUGUGAAUGAGGAUGCUCAAAAGGCCAACUUAAAUUUCCCUGAAAGAGAAUGACAUGUAUGAAUAUGUUCAGUCUGUAAUACAUAAAGAAACAUACAUAUAAAGCUUCAAAAUGCAGACCUGAUUACUGAAUGUUGGGGUGUUGGGUACUCCAAACUGAUUACUCACUGUUGGGAUGUUAGGUACUCCAUACUGAUUACAGAAUGUUGGGAUGUUAGGUACUACAAACCGAUGAUUAUUGAAUGUAGACACAUCAGUUGGAGCUUUUGGAUCAUUAUUUUCUUGGUUUUCUUGUUCUGCAUCAGUAAAAAUUUCAGCUAUACAAAGUACACAAAACAAGAACUAUCAAUAUAAGCUUAUUUAAGAACUAUAUAAAAUAUGUAUGUACCUUUUGUUCUCUUCUUCCUUUGAUUUGUCUCCAUCACAUCUUUGAUUCUACUAUUUUUCAUUCCCUUAGUCUUUGCAUUUGGUGGGUUCAAAACUAGUGUCUCAUUACUAGAAAUGGUAGAGCCAGACUCAGCACCAAAAUUCUUCAGAUUUUCCAACACGUAAAGGGUGUCCUUGUCUUUUUCAAGACGCUUCAUUGCCUCUGUUAACAAAUGCUUGACAAUUUUAGUACCUAAACUAGUUAAUGAGGCUAUGUCAUACACAUUAUUUCCUUCAUGCAUCAAUUCGCUGAGGCGCAACACUCUAGCAGUCUUUAAAUUCUCACUUGUUCCUACACUUGUGUCACUGCUGACCACUACCGUACCCCUUUCUUUGCCUCUUUAGUCCACCUCUUCAAUAUAUACUGAGUUGGUAAAGUUGUGAUAUUAUUUGUAUCAAACACCUUCAAAGCAUGACGACACAAGAUCCCAACAGACUUAAAUGACUUACAAGAACAAGAUAUGCUCAAGGAUGUAGAGUUGUAUUCAAUCUUGUGCACACUUUCACGACCAUCUUCAAUUGCUUCAUAUACAUAAACUUGAUCUUUACUGGAAACUUCUUUUAGUCUAACUCCCAUACAACUAUAGAAUUCUGUUUCAAAAAACUGAAAAAUUUUGUUAGUAUAAACCUUGGCAGCACUGCUUAACAUCUUAGUCCAUACUUUUGGACGACGUGCACCAUUUUUGCUACGGUAGUCAUCUUCUAACUCUGUUAAACGCAACUCUUCAAUCUUUUUCUUAUAGUGAUGAACAAAUUUAAUAAGCUCCAUUGUGUGUGUAGAAAUUCCUUGGAACACAUUGUUUGUACUUUCACUCCUUUGAGUAGAUCUAAUCCUUGCCGAAAAAGUGUCCAAAUUAAAUGCUGCACACCACUUCUGUCGGAGUGAAUACAACUUUGCUAGCCAAGGAUUAUUUCCGAGAUUAUAUCUACCAAUCAAGUUAUCCCAUAAAACCUGAAAUUCAAUUUCAGAACAGCACCCAUGUAAACAAUGGUUGAAUUGCUUCUUGAACUCUGGAUUUCCAAGAUAACUACCAAUUUUCUUUCGGCAUUCUUGCCAAUAUGCCAAGUGCACAAUCAAUGGGAUGCACCUGGAAACACUAUUUUAACUGCCUUUGCCAUUGCUUUAUCUUCAUUUGUGAAAAUAGUUUUUGGUGCUUUAUUUCCCAUCGACUCCAAAAAGGAUUCGAACAACCAAACAAAAGACUCUGUAGUCUCAUCUAAUAGAAAUGCACAUCCAAACACAACAUUUCUCCAAUGAUGAUUAACUCCAACUAUUGGAGCACAAAUCAGAUCAUACUUGUUUGUACGAAAUGUUGUAUCAAAGCAUAUAACAUCACCAAAACAAUCAUAAUCUGACUUUGCUCUACCAUCCCUCCAAAAGAAGUUUAUCAUUCAGCUAUAUUGGUCCAAUUGCAUUGAAUAGAAAAAGUUAGGGUCCUCACCUUGUUUGUGCUUAAAGUGAUUCAGCAAGCUUUGUGCAUCACCUGCUUCCACCAUUUCAUUCUUUUUUCUUUGCAAGUAGUUGUAGACGUCUUUCUUAGUGCACCCAACAUUUUCUGAACCACCCACUUCAUUUGCUAUGUAAAAAAAUGCUUUUGUUGCUCCUAUUCUUGCAACUUUCAUGGAAGUAAAAACUUGUCCACAAGCAUCUGUUACUUUUCGCCCAGAUCUCAAAAAUUGCCUUUCUUCAGGGUUUGCAAGCUCAUGGUUAUGAUCUGAAUUGAUAUGUGAUAUUGUCCAUAUCCCAUCUUUCACAAUAAACGAUAUCAUAGCCUUGCAACCGACUCUUGUUUCCAACUUCCUAUGUUUGGUUGGUUCAAACACAUCUUGGUCUUGUGCAAACCCUUCCUUUGAACAUACAAACUCUCGUAACCGGAUGUUAUUUGAUGCAUCUCUUCUAAUAUGUGACUUACGAACACUGAAACCCUUCCUCAAAGCAUAGGUAUUAUAUAAAUUGUAAGCCUCCUCAUCUGAGUGUACUUGAGUUCCCACUUUGAGUUCUUCAUCGUCUUCAAUUAUUUCCUCCAUUCUUUCACAAGCCAAUUUAACUCUGUAAAACACAAAAAAGUUUAAGCAAAUUUUUGGUCAAUUGCAUAGGACUUUCAAGUAUCAAUGAUCAUUAGUUAAUGAGAAAAUCUAUUAGAUUAGAAAAACCAAUCGUACAAACACCAAAUCACACAGUGAUUGAAUAAUCAAAAUCUAAAGGAUCAGUUUAAGUAUCAGUUUAUAUACAACCACUUUUAAGUAUUGGUUUAUAUACAACGUCUUCAUUACUCAUCAAUUCUUUGUGUCAAGUUCACACAGAGGAUCAUGACAAAUCCAAAACAAUCGAACCCAAAUACUCAUAAGAAAAGCAAAGAAAUACUAACCUGAAUCAAAUUGCUUAUCGAGAUGAUCUUGUAUUGAUUAAAUUGAGCAAUCAUGAGAACGAGCUAACAGGUCGAGAAAGACUGGUUUUGGUGAAUCUGAAAAUUGAUUAUCAGUAAUGAGGAGACCCUAAUCUGAAAAUUGAGUGAGAGGAACAAGAAGUCGUCCACUGUUUGUUCUUCCCCAGAUUAGAAAAACACCUAGAAAUCCUAAUUUAGCUAAAACUCGGCGGGAUAAUGAAAUUUCAACUUUAAACUUGGAGCCUUUUUCGUAGUUUGCUGGCGUGGAAAAAAAUCAAGACGUAGCACUUGUUGGUUGGCUGGUCGCACAUGCCAGCUGGUGCGGCUGUUGCACGGAAGAUUUUCUCUUGUUUGUAACGAUCGCCGAACAAUCGACAACACUAUUAUCUGAACAAGAAUUUAAACCAAAAACAAGAAUAAAUCAAAUCUAAAAACCCGUCAUAUGGGGUAUCUGUAGAAAAAAAAAAAAUUAAUGACAUACUUGUAAUAAAAACAGUUAUGACUUGUAAUCUUAGUCUAUAAAGUUGGACGCACCGACUUGUAAUUGACAUUUGUAGAAUGAUCAUAUUUAAACAAUUACACAUAAGCAUAUCAAACCAAUUCAAAGUGGACAUGAGAGAAAGAGCUUACCUGAGGAACCGGUAAUACAAUUAUUAGGUCGAUUAAAAAGUUUCCAUGGAGAUAAUUUAGAGCGAUUUUUUUUGGUUGGUCUACUAUUUCUCCUGGACCAACCAUUCUAGACCUAGGAACUUCAUAAGCCAGCCUAAACUGCCAUGCAUAAGCAAUAAAAAUUUAGAAAGGCUCAAACAGACAAGAAAAAGAAAAAAACAACAAUUUAUUUAAGAUACCAAUUGAAUAAUACAGAUUUAGAAUGACAUUUUUAAACAGAAUAUGUCAUGCACUUACUUGGAUAAGCAUGUGUAACAGAUAUAUAGUCUGUCACAGUCCGUAAAAACACCAGUAGUAUGGUUUUAUGCCAGUCCAUAAAUAUGCACUUCUGAUCCUGCAUUUUAAGAAUACAGAUACCCCUCUAUUAAAAAAAGAAUAGAACGGGAAACAAAUUUACAUACUAAAGCAAUUUUCGAACGGCUGUUAUUUUUUCUUUUUCUUUUUAAUAAGAAGAAGAAAUUUCUGCUUCAAGAAUAAUGCAGUCUCAAAAUUUAAUGCAAACAUAUUUUAAAGUGAUGACAUCAAGUGAGAGAAAAACAAAGAUAUAGAAAGAGAGAAAGAAAAAAUAGAUUGUUCCGCGCUCGCAGAGGCCGCCGGAAUGGUAGCUUCUAGCAGAGGCAACCGGAAUCAAUAGGAGGAUCGGAUACCGUUGUGGGUUUUCGGGUCAAGGAACAAGGCCGAUUAGUUUGAGUUUUUCUACACCUUGUGAUAUCUCGAUAUUUCUAUUUCAAAUAAGGAAGAUUGAGAGAGAAAAUCGAGGGUUCAAGGAGGAGAGCAGAGAGCAUAUUGGGGAAGAAGAAGAUGAGAUGAUGAGGAAGAUGGAGAUCACGCGCCGUGAAAAGAAACGUUUGUGAUCCCUCACUGGGUCAACUGAAGAACCUUCGGCCGAAUAGCUGUUUCUUCUUCAACACCCUAUUUCAAUCGAAUUUGGUCGGCGCCUUUGCAGAUUUACACUCUAACACAGUGGAUUUGAGUUUUUUUGGCACCAAAUUUUGUUAGCGCGUAUAGUACAUGCGCCGUUUAGGAAAGAAGAAGACGCAUCAGAAGAUACCGAUGCCGAAGCCUCACCCUGUGAAUGGAAGAAUCUCCGACGUGCAAGAGAGAGAAAACAAGAUAAAGAUAAAAUACCAUUUCUCUCUCUCUCGUCCCCACUCCCCCAAGUGUCCAAACCCCAACUCCCCAAGUGUCCAAAUUAAUCCCUAACUCCCCAAGUACCAACCAUAGCCAGGCCGGACCUGAGAUUUCAAGGUCUGAGAUGAGUUUUAAGAAUGGUGUCCUCUAAUGACCGGAAAGCUUCACCUUGAGCAGAGGAGUUUGAGGAGACCAGUAAUGAGGAAUAAAACUGGCAUAAUGGUUUAGAAGUUUGGGAGCAAAACCCAGUUUUUAGAGACGGAGGGGCCCACUAACUUAACAGUGAGGAGAGGAAAAAAGAAGAAGUUAAAAGAUAAACAAGUGGUUAACCCUUCUCUCCUCUUCUAAACCACAAAAAUCCAGUUUUUAUUAUCAUCGACAACCAUCACUGCUCAUCAUCAUCCCCGUUUCAAACUUCUCUCUCUCCCUUCUCUUCUCUUCUAAACCCAACCAUUUCCUCUGUUUUUCAUUUCAAAAAACCAAAACCCAAACAAUUAUAGCUUUAAGCUUUAGUUUCCAUGGCUAGCAGACUUUUCUAAUCCCUCCUGCUCAAGGCAGCUACCGGAUUUUGGUGCCCCCAGAUUUUUGGGGCCUGAGGCAGCCGCCUCGUCGGCCUCACCUCAGGUUCGGGCCCAAGGAAGAAAAUUUCGGUGAUUACGGAAAUUUUGACCCUCCAAAAUAUGGAAAUUUCGACGGAAAUUUCGGGGAAAUAUCGAUUGCAGUAAAAAAAUUGAGAAAAUUGACGGAAAUUUGAAGAAAAACAAGGAAAUUUUAAACCAAACUUUAAGAGAUGUUUGUUUUCUAUAUUAUGUACUAUAUUUGAAAUGAAAACCUUGAAUAAACAUCGAUCUAUAAGGAGUUGUAGUAAGUUAAGGUGAAAAAGUUAGUGCUGAACCGUUAAUAAUUCUUAGAAGUUUACUUUAAACAUUUUUUUUUUAUGGCUGGAAACCCAAAGGAGGCUAGGUCAUCACGCUUUAUAUACAUAUGAUAUAUUUCACAUGGAAUUACAUGAGUACUUUAAAACCACGUAGAAGACCUAUGAUGUACAAAAUUUUCAUUAUCUUUAUCGUCUCUCUGUGUAGAGCCUUCAGUAUAUUGUGAAGAAUAGUCAUUAAAUAAUACCUCACCUUUAUAGAUAUAUUAAAAAUGAAUUAAGAAGUGUAGGUAAAAAAUCUUUUUUAUGGAAGUGUAGGUAAAAAAAUUAGUUGGAGAUUAGACAUUUACCUAAUUUUUUACUUUUCAAAUUAAAAAAACCAAUAUAUAUUAUAAAGAUACUAUAAUAAACAAGUUAAAUGGUUAGUAGGGUUGGUUAAGUUGUUAAUCUUGUACCAACCCGACCCAGGCUCGACUCACCUUCGCAGCAAAAUUCAAAGUCAAACAUUUCGGCAGGAAAGUAAGUUUUGCAGUGUUCAAAGUCAGGGGAAACAAUCAUUCAAAUUUGGGCGGGAAAGUGGGAAACCAUUUCAGCUUCGACUUUUCGGUGGGAUUUCAAAGUUUCGGCGAUAUUUUCGAAAUAUCGCGAUAUAUCGGAAAAUAUCGAUUAUUUCGGACGAAAAAUUCUGAGAAUGAAAAUAUAUAUCACCGUGUGAUAAAAACGAAAUUUUCGGCGAUAUUUCGACGAAAAUUUCGAUUUUUUCUUCCUUGUUCGGGCCUGACCAUAGCACAAUCGUUGUCUGCUAUUGUUGGGUCGCCGAUAUAGUUUUCUUAUUGGAAACUAUGCACUUUAUGUUAAUGCCUAGAGAACCCUAUUCCUCCAAAAAAGAAGAAGCCGGUGUCUAACAAGAAGCUGAAGAAAGAGAGGCUGAAGCAAGGCGUCUCUGCUCCAGCAGGCGAGUAAAUAUGGAAGAAAGACCGCAACUCUGCAUGCAUGUUGAGCUCACAUAUGUUGAGAGUUUGUUCUUUCAUUUCCCUUAAUACUAGAUGGAAUUGGACUUAGUAAUUGGAACCCUGUAUUGAUCUAGCAACCAGGGAGUGAGAAUGUUGUUCCUAAGACAGUUUUUAUCUUCAAAUUUUCUUUCUUAAACAAGUAAUAAUCAGACCUCAGAACUUAGAAUGAGUUACUUUGCCAAAUAAAAUAAAAAAUAAAAAAACAUAACAGAAAGAAAGGGAAGAAAAAGAAAAAGAAUAAAAAGAAAUAUUCUGAACCAUCAAUACUUUGUCUCUGUUCCUCAUGUGCUAGAAUAAACGAAAACAUCUAACUGUUUGUGAAAGAAAAAGAAAAAAAAACAUGUAAACUAAGACUAAUGCAAAAAGAAGGAAAAUAUACCUCAUGUGAAUAUAGCAGAAAGAAAUGUAGUGGAUCUACAAAAACCGCGACCAUGCAAGAUACUACAAAAAACUUGUUUUAUCUUCAAACAACUUUGUUAUCAGGUUCACAAUCCCGAUAACAUAGGGAUGCAAAAAAAAACAUGUUCCUUUAAACAAACUCAACAAAUUCUUUUUGUAUGACAUAUUUGUCUAUCGCUAAAUAUGAAAUGAGUGAAAUGUCGAUGAGGAUGAUUGUGAAGUUGUUUGGAUUUAAAUGUAUAAUGAGGUACGGAUCGGAGAGAUGGGAGAAUGGGAAGUUCGAUAUAUGUAUUAGAUGAGUGAACUCAAUGAGGAUGAAGUUGUGAGAUUUAUGAUAUGGGAAGAUCGAUGCCUUAUAUAAAGAAGAGGACUAGAGGAGUGAUGUUGAUAUCACUGGAAUCAAUAUGUUUGGCCAUGUUUUUAAGAAAUGAUUGUUUUUAGUUAGGGACAGAAAAUUUUCAUGCCUAGUUGUGCAUGUAUUACCUAGAGACACAUUAUAUAUAUGAUGGUGUGCACGGUAAAAAGGCAUAUGAUAACGACUUCAAGGAAAGCAUUCAAAUUUUCUCAAAACUAAAGUAACACUUUAUUCUCCCAUAUUUCUAUCUUCAACUCUCUUUAAUCUUUCAUUCAAUUGGAAGAUUAACAUAAGAGAUGAACCAGUCUUGGUGGACCCAUAAUCACAUCCAAGCUUCACCGAAAUCAAAUCCUCUGUCUUCCUAAGCGAGGAUGGAUCAAGAACAUUAUAUGUAAGGGAUAAUUCAAAUUCAGCACUUUCUGGAAAGCAAUCUGAGAAAUCCCCAUGGGGCUUUUGUUGGGCUUUAUCCUAUUGUCUUUCUUCAAUCUUCAUCUAUUGUUCGUCUUUGUCUUAUACCCAUCUUCUUCCGUUCUCUGAUUCUGUGCAACUUUGAUCUUUAUCUUUGUCUUAAUCUCAUCCUGUAAUAAGUUUUUGACCCACUUUCCCUUUCGAUUUCUUUUUCUCUAUAAAUAUCUCUCUUGAGUCUCAUACACCCAAUCCCAAUUACAGUCAUUCAAUCUCGUCCUUCAUCGGCUCAUGUACAAACAAUGUUUUUUUUAGGAGCCACUCUACCCAGAACCAUCGGUGGUAUACUUUGGAAAAUAAAGUAUGUAAAUCAAUCUGCCACUUGCCCAUUGCAUCACCAAUAAUCGACACACCCAUUGAAAUCGAUUGAACCAGAUUGAAAUACUGAGAUGCAAGAGUGAAUUGAUUUUUCAGAGAAAAGAAAAUAUCAGAUCUAGAAGAAGAAGAAGAUUCGAAUGAAGUUAACAGAGCAAUUGACGUUAGUUCCUGCCAUUUGCUUGCUUGGAAAAAAAAUACAAACGUGUCAACACGAGUGGAUGGUCGUAUGAAUGACGUGGUGCGAGUGCCGCACCUAAGAGUAAGUCCACCCCAAACUCCAAAACUGUGACCCAGACCUUUAGCCAUCUCAAAUAAAGACUCAGACAAAAAAAAACCAAAUCCACCUAUAGAAAAAAAUGAUAACCCAAUCUUUAUUAGAUCAAGACCUGAGUUAGACUCAUAACCAGGCAGAAAAAUGAAGGCCCGGGCCUUCCCUCUCCAGCUCAGCCCACUUGCAUGGGUUUGCAUGACGUCAGCCAUGUUAGAAGACUUGGAGAGAUGAAAGAAGACGCGUCUUGAUGUGGGUGAAGAACACAGACCAAUUGUUGAUGAAAGAGGACGCGCGGGGAACUCAUUUUGUCGCCAUGCGGGGUUAGUGGAUGGGCCACAUGCACGUUCCAAACCUUCACACACCCAUUUAUGUGAAUCUGAUGGUAUAUAUUUAACAACCAAAUAUUUUUAUUACAGAAAUAAAUAGGAAUUAUAAGUUAUAGUUUUAUUUUUUUGGAAUUUUAAUUUCUUCAACAUCCCACAAAAAAAAAAUUGUGCAUUUUAGAUCCAAUUUUUCAUAUCCCUAGCAUUGCUAUUUAUUUAUAAAAUUUUCAUAAAUUUGUCAUAUUAAAUAAUUCCGUGGAAUAAAUAUUUUUAAUAAAUAUUAAACAGUCACUGUCACGUGGUGACCCAAAAACUAAAAUCAUGGGUGGAAACUACAGCUCAAAAUCACUGCCACGUGGCGACCUAGGUCUCGCCUAAGACCCAGACCUUCCCAACGAAGACCUAGAAGGUGGACUUGUUCUAAGAUGACACGGUGUGAGUGCCCCACGCAAGAAUUGCUCCCUGGACCGUGACCACGUGUUUUGGAUAGGGUAAUGCACUACAAAAAAUAUGCGUAAAAGCGACAGUUUUUUCCCCACAUUUUCAGUUUUCGUGGGAGUAUAGUACUGAAUAGUGUCAACGUUUGAAAUCUUUCGAACUCUCCCACGCAAGUCGCAACUUCGAAUUCGUGGAGUAUAAAACAAUAAAAAAUUGUUCUGUAUGGGUAUUUAAUUCUGACACUCUAUUUUUUUUUCCAGUUUAUAAUUCUAAAUUCAGUAAACACCACGCUUUUAACAAUUAGUGGGAAGUAAAUAAUAAAAUAUUAUGAUAGUGUGGAAUUAUGAUGUUGAAACGAUGUAAUUAUCAUGACAUUUUAGUUUCUUACCCGUUUUUAGUAAUUAAUUCAUUUGAAUGUCCCACAAAUAUGCACAAAACGUGAGAACUUAUCUGUACAAGUACAACUGUUGNNNNNNNNNNNNNNNNNNNNNNNNNNNNNNNNNNNNNNNNNNNNNNNNNNNNNNNNNNNNNNNNNNNNNNNNNNNNNNNNNNNNNNNNNNNNNNNNNNNNNNNNNNNNNNNNNNNNNNNNNNNNNNNNNNNNNNNNNNNNNNNNNNNNNNNNNNNNNNNNNNNNNNNNNNNNNNNNNNNNNNNNNNNNNNNNNNNNNNNNNNNNNNNNNNNNNNNNNNNNNNNNNNNNNNNNNNNNNNNNNNNNNNNNNNNNNNNNNNNNNNNNNNNNNNNNNNNNNNNNNNNNNNNNNNNNNNNNNNNNNAUCUAUAAACAAGAUAAACAAGAAAUGGAGUAAAAAUUUCAACAAAGAUUAAUUCCUGGUACACUUUCAUCUUUCUUAACAUCUUAUGGCAUUGAUAUUGACUGGAAUAGCUCACAAAUAAUUUGCAGAUUGCAACUCUAGUUAAAUCCAAUUUGUCAAUACUGCACUUUAAUGCAUCAGGACUCGAGCCUAGUUGUUAUAUAUACUUCUAUAGUAAAGCUAGUAUUAGUAUAUGUGAACAAAGUUCAAAUCUGUGCGUAAGAAUGAUCCUUUCUAAGUUUCUCAUCUGUAUUAUUUGAAUGUCUGCAGUUUGCGAUACCAUUUCCACCCUGUGACAGGUGGAUGCUGAAGUUUUUAGUAAUCCAGCAAUGAUUUUGAAGAUGAAAUUGACCAAUCUUCCAUGGAGACUAUAAAUCAUUCAGAAAGGGUCCCUAAAAUGUAAAAUUGUUUAGAAUUACAUAUGAAAGCUUGUAGUGCCUUUGAUUCCAUGACUGAAAUUUACAGGGUUAGCAUUUCUGGCUUACUAAAGCUUGUACUGGCUCCCACCAUAUAUGCCAAGAUGCUUAGAAGAUUUCUGCCAAUCUCUUUAUUUUGGCGUAUGUAAGGAUCAAAAACUGACAUGAUUGCAACCUAAGAGCUAUAAAAUUUGAUCAAAAUUUUCUCCAAUUCAGUCAUAUAUCAUGCUAGUCAAGUUCAUCAUGUUGUUUGGAAACAAUGUGACUUAUCAUGCGAAUUUCACGUCACUUAUCACACAGAAACGCUCUUACCAACCUCUCCGUAACCGAGUUUGGUUGAUUCUUUCAUACGUUAAACUCUCACACAGAUGAGACGUUACACAUAAAAAUUUGAAAACGUUUGAUUCCUGUUGAUACGGCUCCCCAUAAGGAAGAUUAAGGGUAAAAAAGGUUGACCGUUUUUAUCGGUACCCAAAAGUUACUCGAAAUAUGUGAUUUUUCAACCAUAGCCGUAUUUCACUAUUCCGAUCACAUCUUAUUUACGAGAUUUUUGCUUCCUUUGUACAGUUGGUUUACAAAAUUGUACACUUGCAUAUAACCUACUAAACAAGUUAUAUCACAUUAGUAGACACGUUGUGAUUUCGAUGACUAAAAUUCUCAAAAUGAAAAUUCCACAGUCUGAUAUGAUCAUUAUAGUAAACCAUGUCUAUGGUAUAAAAUUCAACUCUAUUCGGUAGCGUUCGGGGCUCGAUCGAAGCGGUCAACCAUAAUAUAUCGUCACUUAUCACACGGAAACGCUCUUACCUACCUCUCCACGACCUAAUUUGGUCAAUUCUUCCACACGUUAAACUCUCACAUAGAUGAAACGUAACCACACAUAAAAAUUUGGAGACGUUUAACUCUCGUUGAUAGGGCUCCCUAUAGGGAAGAUUAAGCGUAAAAAAGGUUAACUGCUUUUAUCGGCACCCAAACGUUAACCGAAAUAUGUGAUUUUUCAACCAUAGUAGCUAAACACUAUUUUGAUCACAUCUUAUUUCACGAGAAUUUUGAAAAUUUUACUUCCUUUAUGUAGUUGGUUUAAAAAGUUGUACACUUGCAUAUAACCUAUUAAAUAAGUUAUACUAUAUUAGUAGACACGUUGUGAUUCCGAUAACUUAAAAUCACAAAAUGAAAAUUCCACCGUCUGAUAUGAUCAUUAUAGUAAAUCAUGUCUAUGAUAUAAAAUUCAACUUGAUUCGGCAACGUUCGUGGCUCGAUCGAAGCGGUCAACCCUAAUAUAUCGUCACUUAUCACACGGAAACGCUCUUACCUACCUCUUUGUGACCUAGUUUGGUUGAUUCUUUCACACAUUAAACUCUCACAUAGAUGAGACGUAACCACAUAUGUAAAAAUUUGGAGACGUUUACCUCCCGAAAAUAGGGCUCCUUAUAGGGAAGAUUAAACGUAAAAAAUGUUACUGUUUUUAUCGGCACCCAAACGUUACCCGAAAUACGUGAUUUUUCAACCAUAGCUAUAUUUCACUAUUUUGAUCACAUCUUAUUUCACGAGAUUUUUGAAAAUUUUGCUUCUUUUGUGUAGUUGGUUUACAAAGUUGUACACUUGUAUAUAACCUAUUAAAUAAGUUAUACUAUAUUAGUAGACACGUUGUAAUUCCAAUGACUAAAAAUCAUAAAAUGAAAAUUCCACCGUCUGAUAUGAUCAUUAUAGUAAAACAUGUUUAUGAUAUAAAAUUCAACUUGAUUCAGCAACGUUCGGGGCUCGAUCGAAGCAGUCAACCCUAUUAUAUCGUCACUUAUCACACGAAAACACUCUUACCUACCUCUUUGUGACCUAGUUUGGUCGAUUACUCCACACGUUAAACUCUCACAUAGAUGAGACGUAACCACACAUAAAAAUUUGGAGACGUUUACCUCCCGAAGAUAGGGCUCCCAUAGGGAAGCAUAAACGUAAAAAGAGUUGACCGCUUAUAUUGGACUCGGACUUUACCCGAAAUACGUGAUUUUUCAACCAUUGCCGUAUUUGACCAUUCCGAUCACAUCCUAUUUCACGUGAUUUUUGAAAAUUUUGCUUGCACUGUAGAGUUGGUUUAUAAAGUUGUACACUUGUAUAUAACCUACCAAACAAGUUAUACCACAUUAGUAGGCACGUUGUAAUUCCGAUGACUAAAAAUUACAAAAUGAAAAUUCCACCGUCUGAUAUGAUCAUUAUAGUAAAACAUGUCUAUGAUAUAAAAUUCAACUCGAUUCGCAAUGUUCAGGGCUCGAUCGAAGCGGUCAAUAUCUUAUGACACUACUAGCAGCCUGAUCUUUAUUAGCAUUUUUCAUGGCCACGUUUUUCAUGGCCGAGCUCAUCUCACCCCUGUACUGUUCGUAAAGUUUCCUCCAGUUGUUCAAGCAGUGUUUGGGGACUUGAUUAAUGUCAAAAAUAGGAAGUUUCUUGAUUUCUGAACAAGGAUACAGAGGAAAAUCAGUAUGUUAAAAGUUGAAAUAAAUCAUUUUUUAUCUAAAGUUAUAAUUUGAUGGAAAUUUCAUAACUUUGAAAUACUAAAAGGAUUUGACAUGGGAACAUCACAGAAAGCUAUCAUAACCUUUGACAGAAAUUGGUUCAUGAUCAACAUUAAACAUUAUCUACCAUCAAAUUUUAAAAGAUUUUGGUUGAUUUAUAACAAUCCAUAGAUUCUGCUAAUUCUAUGGAUUGUUUUAAUUCCAUAUGGAGUUUAACAAAUUUUAAUAGAUUGAUUUAUUAGUAUUCUUUUAGACUUUUAUAAGUCCACAGAUUGUUGUAACGGCAAUAAAUAAAAAAAAGUUUCUUAAAACACAAACAAUACAGUAAAAACGAUGAUGACUUGAAACAUAAUGCUCUGAUACAAUAGUAUAUAGGUUACUAGUAUCACAUCAUACAGAGAACUGUAUCAAAUCCAAUCUCUCUGUUUGUGAUCAACUCCCCUAUAAUUGAAUAUUCAAGGAACAAUUUUCCCAACAUAAGCACUCAGAAAAAUAGAUUUUCAUCACCAUCUAAAAGCUAUCUAGCAUUAUUAACCAGAUGCAGACCCAUAAUUCUUCCCACACACAAUUAGCUGCAACUCGUCACAACCAGAAAUUAAAGAAUACCAACACCAGCAAUGGCAUGGAGGACGUUUGCAUCAACACCCUUGAACAAGGACUUAGCACCCACAUUCUUCAAGAUCUGAGUGAAGGCUUCAAAACUCUUGUACUCGACAGCUUCACCAGAGGUCAUUAUCUACGAACAGUGUCAAUUGGGUAGGAAGAUAGACCAGCACCAUUUCUGAUGACCUAGGAGAAGUACUACAAGUCAAAAACAAAAGGAUGAUUAUCAAAAACAAAAUGAUGUCAGCUGGAAUACCUACAAGCCAUAAGAAUCUAGUCGUGGACAAAUAAAGUAAAUAUAAAUACAGCUUCCGCCAACACACUGAAGUUGCAUAUCCUUGGAAUCAAACCACCAAUAUAGGAUAAAUAGAAUUUGCAAGCACAUAAAAGUACAAAGAAUACCAAUCAAAUUACUACAGGCCUUAUGAUAUAAGUGUCACUACAACGCUUAAUAAGAGUUCAAAAAUGAAUGAUCCACUGAUCCAUGAGUGACCACACUAACACUUGAGUAAUACAGGACCUCAAUACUUUCCUACUAAAAUAACCAUUUUAAACAGUAGUAUAAGGGUAUUCAGAAUUUCAGAUAUGAUACAUGAGUAGCAUAUAUUAAGAUCGCAAAUUGAAGAAAACAUAUAUAUCUCUCGUAGUUAGAAGAGAUGGGACAACAGUUGGAUAAUGACAUAACUAAUCUUUGGUUUUCAAAGUUUAUCUGCCCAUCCAUUCAAAACAAACGAAUCAUUAUUAGCCGCUAAACAAAUCACAGAGUCAUUCCUUUUACCCUCAAAGUUAUCAAUGUUGUUCUUGUAACUAGGCACGUGUUGCUACAAACAAUUCCCCUUAUACACACCCUGACCUACAGACAUAUAUACCAAUAUCCAACACUCAAACAAUUCCCCUUAUACACCCUGACCUACAGGUUUGUCUUUCUCAAGUUCAGACUAUCUUAGCAUACUGGAAAUCAUAUGCCAUCAUUCUGAGAGAAAUUUGUACAGCCUCCUCAAUCUCAAGCUAACUAGCUCUUAUAAUCAAUGCACUCAGUUAUGCGCCCUACGUACUUCUCUCUCUUUUUCCUCUACAAAACUUGAUGCUUUGGCCGUCAACCAUGAAACUGUUUCCAGGAAAGAUAAUGUACUGCAAUCAUCUACUUGUUCGUGCAAACCAUUGAGUUCAGACUUCAGAUACACCAUGUGUAAUGUGGAUUUUUGUGAUAGAGAUAUUUCCCUAAAUUAUUUAUUCUAUUAGUCAAAACCUUGUUAAAAACAUAAACUAGCAGCUUUUAAUGUCUUCCUGUAGACAUCAACCUUAGGUUUCAAAUUCUAGCUUGAUUCGAUUAGUUACACAAUCAACCUAAGCAAGUGUUCGACAUAAUGAUUCUGAAACAAAUGCGACGUACAAUACCAGCACGAACCCCAACAAGAAAUAUGAGAUUAAGAUUCAAAUACGAACAGAAAAGAGAAACAAAGAGCAUGAUUGAUACCUUUCGAGUGAAAUAUGGAUCAUUGGCGAGAACGAUGGUCUCGAAACUGAGUCGUUUGAAUCGUUCGCAGCGGUUGAUUCCUUCGUUUUCAACGGAGGCACCGCCGCCGCUGUAGAUCUUUGACUCGGAAGAACAUCACUCAGAGCCUCAUCGAGCUUUCGACUUGAAGAACAACCUACCGAGGAGAGAACCCAGUGAGCUCUCCUCAGACUCCAUCAAAAUCUCGUGGGAGAGGCCAGAUUUCUUAAUGGAAUUUGUAUUUAUACCUAGCCCUCUAAAAUCCAUCAAAAUCUAACAACUGAUGGAAUCCUUGAGAAUCUAUAGAGUUUUGAAUACCCUCGUAUUUUGAUGGAUAUUUUAAAAUCUGAAUCGAAUACAUCAAGAUUUAUAAGGAGUUUUUAAAAUUUGAUUGAAUACCCAUAGAUUUUCAGAAUCCAAAAAAAUCCAACAGACUCCCAAUUGAAUACACCCCCCUAUGUAGUUCAAGUCUCACCUUGGAACCUCUCACAGAAUUGUCUAUAAGCAUCAGAAGGAGCAGACAGGAUUUCAUCGGGAGAAGGGGAGGAACAAAGUGAUUGUCCAUUGCACAAUGUCGCCGGCAAUGGAUUGGAAGUCUCACCUGCACCACACAAACACACAAAACUCACUAAUUUGCUUAAAUUUCAUCAUAAAUUUCGGCUAAUCACUAAAAGCAUCAACUAGAUUAUAAGUCUAACCCUGAGACUGAAAACUUAAAUAAAAUGGUGCAUCAGUAACUACGACCUUUACCAUCAGACUUGCUUUGACAAGAAUAAGUGUGUGCCACUUUCACUGGAGAAUAAGGUGAUUGUGUAUUGUUGUUGUUUCUGGGUUGCUCUAGAACAGUAAAUGCCUCACCUGCACCAAAAGCUUUAUUAUAGUCAUAUAACAGCAUUGACCACCAACAAAAUGAAUCAACUUGAGAGAGUGAAAGUAGUGACAAACCUUGAAACCCAUCAUCAAGUUGGCCAGGACCAGACAGUCUUUGAGAAGAAGUGCGUGCAAGUUUCAUCGGAGAACCCGAUGAAUAAGGUGAUUGACCUCUAACAGGUGGCAGGUGAUUAAAUGCCUCACCUGCACCGAAAAUCUAGUCAUAUAACAGUGAUGACAACAAGUCCAGUAGUCCACAACCAAAUGAAUCAACUUGAGAAAGCAAAAUAUGACAAACCUUGUGACUUCUCAUGAACUUGUGCAUGAGUAGACAAUCUUUGAUAAGAACAACUCCCUGUUGCUUUCGAUGGAGAACCAUAGCAGUAAGGUAACCUGUCACUAACUGCCUCACCUGCACCAAAAUCCUUAACACUAUCACACACAAAACACUCAUAUGACCACAAUGCAAUGCAUCAAAAUAGAGAACGCAAGAAGCACAACAAACCUCGAGACCUCUCAUCAACUUGUACAUGAGCAAUAAAGCUUCCAUCACAGCUUCCGGGUUGCUCCACAACACCAUACACCUCACCUGCACCAAAACCCACAGAUCCAGUUUCCCUCACUAUAUCAAACCCACAGUAAAGAACACUGGAGACCAUCAUAUAUACCCCAACCCUGAACAUGAAGUGAUGAAAACUAUACCGAACCGGGAUCGAUCCAUGAACAUAAAUCAAUCAGAACUAACAAACCCUAAACAUUGGUAAGGCUGACGAGAUUAAUAAAUGGUAAACGGCGUGUUGUGUAAGCUUCGGCAAUGUAGACUGUAGAGUGGAGUUAAUUGAUUGAUAGGUUCAUAACUCUGAAGCAUGCAACGCCAUUUGUUUUUGGUCUUUUCCUAUCAAAAAUCCUACACUUCUAGUCCAAUUAUUCUUUAAUCCUGCACAUAAUCUGAUGCUAAUUUACCAAAACUAAAGAUCCUGAGCUCAAAUCAAGAACAAAAUCAACACUAGAACUCGACUCGACCCGAGAAUCGAAAUGGUACCUUGCUGAUUGGUCCCUGAAGGAGAGAGUGACGCUCUCCGAAGCUUCUCCGCUGGGCUUGUUCACCUAGAUCCACGAGACUUCAUCGGAAACCUCGGCAUCCGGAUCUGCGGCGCCGCCGAUCUUCGUGACCAGCCGGACCUUUCGCGAUGUGCUGGAGCGGCGUUUAGGGGUUUUGGUGAGGUCGGGGUUGCCGGAAGCCAUGUGAAAAAUUAGGUCUGGGAGAAAUUAGGGUUUCAAAUUCGAGAUCUGAAAGCUUCGAAAUUGAGAGAGAUGAGAGCAAAGGCCAGUUGGGAAUUGAAAUUGGGGGAAAUUGAAAUUUAGAGAGAACUAAAGCGGGGAGUGGGCGGAAGCAAAGAUGAAUAGGAUAGUCACCCACGCACGACGCGCCUCGCUAGGCGUGCUUACAAUUGACAGUUAAAACGAGUUAAUUACCUUUUCAUUUCCGUCAGAAAACAAACGCGGAGCACAGACGCUCCGGAGCAUUCCAGACGUCUCCUCUCCUUCUAUCUUCUCCUCCCUUCUUUCUUUGUCUGUAACUCAUCAAAGCUUCAUUGUUCAUUCUUCCUUCAUAAACGUUUUUAGCUGAAAAACGUAUCUGUGGUGAACUCGAAAACGAAUCUCUCUUAGCCGGUGUACAGAAAUAAAGAAGUCUUUCACACUACCAGAAAUGUGGGCAACAAACACCAUCAUAAUGAUGUGCAUUGAACCAAUGGAAACUAAUCAGUGGUGUGGAUUCAUGAUAGCCACGGCCCUAGCCACUAUUAUGAGAUUAGUUUGCAUUGCUGGCGUGGCUUUUCCUAACAAUACACUAUCAUCUUUUUGGUGACUACAUAUAUACUCACUAAUUCAAUCUUUGGUGACUUCAUUGAAUUAAUAAAUAAAAAAAUAUUCAGCUAUAAAACUCUAUGGGUCCUACAUAUUCAGCAAAAGCAUCUUCAAAACCAGCUUCUUUAAAUUCAAAACCGCGAUCUCUAUCUCGUCUCUAGUAUCUCCUGCAAAGCAACAACAUGGGCAAAGAUUACUUGGCUAUAAAUCACCCCUCAUAAUUUUAUUUCCUUCAUAUAACAGAUGAUAUGUAUCUUGUGGAAAUAAAAUCAAUGUAUCCAGUGGAAAUAAAAUUAACUUGAAGCUCAUAAACUAUCAACAUGUUCAUAACCCGUGACUUUGUAAAAAUAUAAACUUAAAGCUCAUAAACUAUCAACAUGUUCAUAACCCCUGACUUCAUACCUAUAUCAACUUGAUGAACAAGUUCAUAUAAAAGCUCCCUACAUGUUAUGUAUCACAUACCUUAGUUCUUAAUACAAGAUAAUCCUCUCCUCUCUCUUUUUCCAUCACUAAAAUGCAAGUAUAGUGUACAAAGUCCACAUCUUUUCCUGCAAGCAGAAAAACACACUUUGGGUAAGUUGGCCAGAAAACAUACAAUAAAUUUCUUUUGGGUAAGAACCUUAGAAGAAACAAUUAUCAUUCACAUUUAUUAUAGUAAAACCUGGUUCAAGUUCAUAAAUUAAGCAUCUAUCGGCAUAGUUGACACAUAGAAGGUAAAAUCUGAAGCUAGAAAUGAGGUUAUAGUGAACAAUAAUGUAUUAUGAAUUAAGUUCCCAAGGAAUGGUAGUAUCAUAUAUAGUAAUGGUAGUAUCAGCCCACUUUUAUGGAUGAUGCAUAUUCAAUUACUGAUUCACAUUUACAAAAGAAUAUAAGCGUACCUUAUUGAGUGAACGACAUUUUUUUGUCUCCUCAUUCAUACGGUCUUGCAGCUUUCUGUUUCAGAAUGAACACCCUACAAAAAAAACUGCAUAUGACCAGUCAGUUAAGAAUCUUAAGAAGUUCAAAUAGAUUGAUAUGAAUCAAGGACAAUUGUAUACAAAUUAAGAACUGAUAAGGAGGGAAGAUAAAUAUGUAGGUGAAGUUUACCUCCUUCAACACCAGGGCAUCUAACUAUUCUUUUGUCAUGGUAAGACUUGACUAUAGGAGGCGCUUCCUAUAACACAGACAACAUACUAGCCUCAAUACACAAUAAUGGAAGCCCUAAACAUUAUUUGUACAUGUUCUAAACCAUGUAAACAUGCUUCAACUUUACCAGUUGAAAUUGACACAUAAGAGGUGCACAAUACGCAUAUUUUUUUGUCUAUUCAUUCGAUAGAAAGCAAUUAACCAUGUAACCACAAAAUUCAUAUGGUAAGAUCGAGGAGUCUGACAACUAUUAUCUCUUUUUUCAUUCAUUCACUCGAAGAUCAAAAUAUAAAUAAAAAACACCUUCCCCUCGAUAGUUAUUAGAAAUCUGCAAUUAGGAAUCAAAAGACUCUUGUUUAAGGUCUAAAAGUAUGAAUGUAAAAGCCCACUUCUACGACAACAAAUGCCAAAGUCAUCUCAUAUAAUUUAUGAAUAAUGAAGCAAGAACAUGAAACAAAAAAAUUAAAUCUUCAGAGUACCUUAGUACCAAAAGGAUUAAUUGGAUUAUUAAUCUCAAGAAUUUCCUCCCCUAAAAAUUAAGUCUUCGGAGUACCUUAGUACCAAAAGCAGAUAUAAACUAACAAUAAUAUGAAGUUUGACUAUCAUAUUCAUCUCAUCACCCAAAAACAGUGAUGUAAGCUACUUAAUAUAACAGACCAUAAAAGCUGGAAGAAGCUAGUUAUGCAGUAAUUCUCUAUUUGGUGUAAAGAAUAUAAAACUCCAAAGAAACUGCAUUUGAUUGAAGAGUUCAUAAAAUUGAUUUCCCAUCAAGAAUAUACAGUCACAUUUAAGAUUGAUACAAAAGACAUAUCUACAAGUUAAAUGUGCAGACAUACUGACAAUUAAACAUUAGUGUCUACAUGAACUCCUUUUUUUCUUAUUGAUACAUGAACUCCUUUUAUACCACAUCAAACUAAUAAUAAUCAAGUUAUUAGUAGAGUCCUUACUUAAACCUCAUGAACAUUACAAAGUAUUGAAAGCGAAUAAACAUCUCAGAGAACAGAACUCACCAGGUAAACAACUUCUAUUAAAUAAUUCUCGACAUUGUCAUUUCUGAAACAACAGUAUCAAGAAUAAGCACCCAAAUUAACUAUUAUAUAGUCAGCAGUUAUAAAAUUUCAUCAAAAAAGAAUUUUCAUCAGUUAAAUUAUAUCACCUUCCACAGUUCCACCUUUCAUUAUCCUAAAGAUCAUGAAAAUGUCCAUUCCUUUUCUGUUCUUUUGACCAGUGUGAUAAGCUUCAUUCCAACCCUAAAAAAUUAACCCCAAAGUUCAAGUUUUGCGGUGGAGAAAGAAUGCAUGCAAGAGCCUCUAAAACCAAAAUAAAGAAUUAUGAUGCACAAGAAAAGAAAAGCACAACAUACCAAAGCAAUUAAAUAUAACAACUUCAUUACAAAUGUAAAAACGAAGCAGAUAGGGAGAUACACUGACUUGUUCCUCUUUCCAUUCAUCGGGUCGGAGCACCAGUUAAUCUUUCACAGCCCAUGGUGAUCUGCAAAAUUUUCAAUCGAUCAAUCUUCAUACUAUGCUGAAAGAUGAUAUCGGAAACCAAUCAAUGAAGCGAGAUUGGGAUUUAAGAUUUUCAUUACUUGCAGCGCCGACGAAGACACGGAGUUGGAUUAGAUCGGCGUAUGGCCGAAACAGACAGAGUAAUUUAGAGGCUUGUCGAGCUGCGGUAGCUGAGAGAGAGAGAGAGAGAGAGAGAGAGAGAGAGAGAGAGAGAGAGAGAGAGAGAGNNNNNNNNNNNNNNNNNNNNGGAGAGGAACUUCGUUAUGCACCAUAAGAAAAAAGAGAUAAACUCAUAAAAGUAUAAUUUUAUAACUUUAAACAAUAUUGGUGACGGUCAAACAGUUGUGGUUUUUGCUAAUAGUGACACCGUUAUAAGGAUUGGGGAGAAAUCCUAUGGGUUAUGUCACCAUUAGACUAAUAGUGCAUAGAAAAUAGUAUCUGAUGCCCACAUUUGUGGUAGUGUCAUCUGCAGUCAUAGUCUCAAGAAUGACAAAUCGUCAUCAUCUGAAGUAUUGAGGCAUGUCAGAGAUUUCCAAUCUUCCUUCAAAAGGUUAGAUUUUUCCUUCCAUGACCCAUGUAAUAUCAGGAUUUAAGUGGGUAUAACAUGACUGAGAAAUUUGAAAAUAGGAAUUUAUUGGUUAUGAUUUCUUCAUGAUUUUCUGCUAACAUAAAUUCUCAAUUUUUUUUUCAUAUAUUAUUUCUUAGGAAAUUGAAUUCUGGUGAAGUUAAUCAAUGUGUUUGCAUAUAGGCGUCAACAGAUCGAGCUUGGCUGAGUAGUUGCCUCCUCCACAUGUAUAUGUGUUGGCUUUAAACUCAGUCUUCUACUAUAUGUGAUGUUUUGUUUCGUUAAGUGUUUAUUUUGUGAUCUUGUUUCGUCAAGUGCUGAUGUUUCUUAAUAUCUUUUAUUAAACAGCGACAAGCGUGGCUCGUGGAUCACAUUGUACCGAUACUGUCCCAACUUAACCACCUUUAAGGUGUUGGGUUUUAAUCACAAAAGGCCUCGGUACAAUUGGAUAAGAUCCAUCCACAUAUAAGUUAUAUUUUAUUUGUCACUUUUCUGAUGUGGGAUUUAUUCCUCUCUAAUACUUCUAAUACGCCCCCUCACGUGCAACCUGACUUAAGGUCCGCACGUGGAAUGAAUCGGGACGGAACGAACCAAGGGACACUUAGUGACAAUCCAAUCGGAAUAUUCCGAUGGUGAGACAAGAAGCCGGAACCGGGCGAGAAAAUAGAAUCCCGGACCGGACGAGAGAAUGAACCCAAAUCGGGCCCAUGAGAAUUGGAGAAGUAAUUGGAGAGGGACCCGCUCUGAUACCAUGUUAAACAGCGACAAGCGUGGCCUAUGGAUCACAUUGUACCGAUACUGUCCCAACUUAACCACCUUUAAGGUGUUGGGUUUUAAUCACAAAAGGCCUCGGUACAAUUGGAUAAGAUCCAUCCACAUAUAAGUUAUAUUUUAUUUGUCACUUUUCUGAUGUGGGAUCUAUUCUUCUCUAAUACUUCUAAUAUUUUUGUCUACUUUUCAGGUAUGUGUUCUUGCAAAAUUUAUUAGCCUUAGCUGAAGUUGUUGUUGAGCUUGACUUACAGAAUGAGGUUGGGGAAAUACAAAGAUUAGCCUUUUCGACUUUGCAAAGGAUGGAUCAGGCCAUCAGGGGACGAGCAUCAUUAGUUAGUUUCAACUUUCAACAAUAGUUUUUUAGAUUAGCUCCAUGUAAAUAGAUUAGCUCCAUUUCCCUCCUGGCCUCCUGGGAAAUUUUGAUUAGUUGUGCUUUGUUGUGGAUUUCCUGCAAAUCAGUUAAUGAAUAUAAUCAUUUAGAGAAACUCCGUAUUUCUAUGAAUAAUUGGACGUAUUUCUAUAAAUAAUCGGGUAUUUCUCUAAAUAAAUACAAACCAAUUUGAAUAAGAGCCGUCAGAUAUAUGGUGGGCCCAGAUAAUUCACAUUUAUAACAGCUGUUGAAUUUUACACAUUUUUUUUACAAUCCACACACCUCUAUCUCACUUUUUAUAAGAAAAUGUCUAAAAUGACUCUAUUUUAGACAACUAGAAAAAUUAAAACAUGGAUAGUUUAGACAUUUUCUUAUAAAAAGUAGGGUUUAGGUGUGUAAAUUUCACUCCCCUUAUAUUGACCCUUAAAAUGGUAAUAUAAAAUGGGUCCCAACUUUGAUAGCACCCACGAAUGUUUCGUAUACGUGAGAUUUUUAAGCUAUCGCCAUGGCAUUAGUCCGCAAAUCGUGACCAAGCCCAAUGCACACGAUUAUUCGUAGGUAAAAAGGCAACUCCCACGAAACAAAUUCCUAGCUAUACCCAGUUUUUUUUUUUUUUUUUUAGUGAUGGCUGAUUAAGUUGGAUAAGAGCUAGAUGUAUUGGUUCCACUUCCACCUCCAUGUAAACACAAAACUAUUGUAAUUUACCACACAAUAACUAAUUAGCAAAGACUAGUAGAAUACGUAUAUGUACUAAUGUACACCAAGGACUGACACCAAACUAACAAUUCAGGUGGCCCAUAUAUAACCGAGUUCGUUUUAUAAUUCGAGUUCUUACAUCUUUUUAAUAGAUUGAGCUGAUCAAGCAAAAAUUCGAAUCAAACAAAUGAAGUAAACGGAUCAAUGAACACAGGUUAUUCAAUAUGCAUGAUUGUGAUGUUACUGAAAUUAAUGGACAAUCAAUUUCAGUAUAAAGCUUAAGGUUAGCUGAGCAUGUCGUCUUAAUUAACUGCAGUACGUAUAGAUGAUCUGUUCUCAUUCAGUGUGCUGAUGUUCAUCUUCAGAAUGGAAAUCUGAAGUUGUGAAGAUGUAGUUUUUGAGAGCCCCGAGAAUGAUCCAUGCACAAUAGCACGAAAGACGAAAACUGAAGUGGAAGUAGAAUUUUUCUGUAAACUUUGUACCUACAAAAUUAAGUUUAAUAAUUUUCAGAUUCUUAUGCAGAGGUUUGGGUACGCAUGAAUCAAGAGAUCAGUGAAAGCAUAUUCUCAUCAUAAUUAACAUCAUACUUUCUGCAAUUUGUUCUCAAAUUGGAUUACCUAUAUAUAAAUUCUAGGCCAUAUAGAAAAUUAGAAAUAUAAGGUUGUUCAGCUUCCAUUCCGUGGAUGGAAAAUUCUAGUAUACCAUAUGGUAUAACAUACCUCACAAAAUAUGUGGCUAUCAUUGAUUGAAAAAACAACUAAAUGACCAUGUAAUGACUAUUUACCCCUUCAAAAGCCCACAUAGGCAUGUCAUACCAUAUGGUAUGAUAAACAAACCCUCCGUGGAUAUAUUUGUUAAAGAUCCUUGAAUCAUUUCCCCCAAAAAAGAAAAAGAAAAAAAAAGGAGAUCCUUGAAUCAGAGGUUAUAUAGGCUUUGAUGAAUGUCGUAUAUUGCUCGUCAUUUUCUUGAUGCAUCUAAUUAAGUACGUAGUUGGAGAAAACAAGAUGCCAGUGAAUCUAAUACCAAGAUUUCUUGCAGGGCUGCUUAAUAUCAAGUUAUCAACUAUUGUGAGUUACUAAAAUGAUUGAGUUCGUAUGUGGGUGAAGAUUUCACAUGGAAAUUUUGAUACAGAGAUAUGUAAUUAUGCAAACAGAUCCGUUCAUAUAUUCCUUUCCAUCGACAAACAAGUUACAUCAACACAGGCACACUUGAAAGAAAUCCCAUUUACAACAGUUGCGCACACAUGAUUAAAUCGAUCACUUCACUCCAAAACUUUCAAACCUCACUUUCCGGGAACAAAGUUUGUGGCAUAUGACCAAGCGUUGUUGUUAACAGGGUCAGCCAAGUGAUCAGCUAGGUUCUCAAUCGGUCCCUUUCCGGUAACAAUAGCUUGCACGAAGAAUCCGAACAUGGAAAACAUAGCCAGUCUUCCGUUCUUGAGCUCCUUCACCUUAAGCUCAGCAAAAGCCUCAGGAUCGUCUGCAAGCCCUAAAGGGUCAAAGCUCCCACCGGGGUACAACGGGUCUACUACCUCACCGAGAGGACCUCCUGCAAUUCUGUAGCCUUCAACAGCACCCAUCAAGAUCACUUGUGUUGCCCAGAUUGCCAAAAUGCUUUGAGCGUGGACCAAGCUAGGGUUUCCCAAGUAGUCUAGUCCACCCUCACUGAAGAUUUGAGCUCCAGCCUUGAACCAAACAGCUUCGCCGAACUUGACUCCAUUACGAGCCAAGAGUUCAGGGAAAACACAGCCAAGGGCACCUAGCAUGGCCCAUCUGGAAUGGAUGACUUCGAGCUCACGGUUCUUGGCAAAGGUCUCAGGAUCAGCUGAGAGCCCAGCUGUGUCCCAGCCGUAGUCACCGGGAAACUCUCCGGUGAGGUAAGACGGGGCUUCGCCGGAGAAUGGUCCCAAGUACUUGACACGGUCAGGACCGUACCACGGGCUGACGGAUGACACAUUCUUUGACUUGGCUGCGGUUUUGCGCAUGGUAACUCGGCCCUCACCGAGGAGGUUAGAUGUGGAGGAACCAAGCUUCACAGCUUGGCCAGCUAGAGAAGGGGAGGAGAGAGCCAUUGUUGAAGAAGCCAUUUGAGGAAAGUGUUGAGAGUUCUCAGCUUAGACAAUGUGGGGUGGUGAGGGCCGAGGGUUUGUGUUUUGAGUAGAGCCGUUGGUGGCUAUUUGUAUAGGGUUUUGUGUGGGGGUUCUUUAUCUUUUUGAUAUCUUCAUCUCUAUUCUUAUUGGGUGAUAGUGAAGUUUGAAGAUUUUUCCCUUCAACGGAUCUCUGCAUUUCCAGUUGGCCUCGUAUGCUCCACUACUAAGUUCAGUUAGUUCCAAAAAUAGAAAGACAUGCAGAGACAAAAAUGGAAAUCUGUUGUGGAUGUACUCUAUCGAAAAUAAAAUCUGUUGUGGAUACUCUGUGCUUUGAUUUCCAGCUAAUAGACGGUGACCACGUCAGCUUUGGAUCAGGGUAAUGGCUGAUUAAGAUUCUUGGAUAAGAGCUAGAUGUAUUAGUUCCACCUCCAUGUAAUGUACGUAUAUGUACACAAAGAAGUUAAUUAACUAGCAAAGAAUAGUAGAAUACGUAUAUGUACAUAAAGGACUAAUACCAAACUAACAUGCAACUCAGGUGAUCCCAUAUUAAUUAUAACGAGUUCGUUUUAUAAUUCGAGUCGUUACAUCUGUUUGAAAGACUAAGUUUAUCAUGUAAUAAUUUGAAUCAAACAAAUGAAGUAAACGGAUCAAUGAACACUGGUUAUUAAUGCAUGAUUGUGAUGUAUAUAUGUUACUGAAAUGGACAAGCAGUGUUUCUGUAUAAGCUUAAGUUUUCGCCAGAUCAAUUGAAGGAGGCCGAGCAUGUCGCCUAAAUUAACUGCAGUACAUAGACGAUCUGUUCCCAUUCAGUGUGAUGAUGUUCAUCUUCAGAAUGGAAAUCUGAAGUUGUGAAGCAAAAUGUAGUUUAUGAGAGCCCCAAGAAUGAUCCAAUGCACGAUGGCCUCCUGAAAGUCGAAAACUGAAGUAGAAGUAGAAAUUUUCUGUUAACUUUAUACCUACAAGUUUAAUAAUUUCAUGGACGCAUGAAUCAAGAGAUCAGUGAAAGAACAUUGUCAUCAUACUUUCUGCAAGCUAUCCUCAAAUUGGAUUACCUAUACAUGAAUUCAAGGCAUCAGCCAAAAGCCCAAAAGUAGUAUUGCAUAUAGGUUGUCCAGCUUCCAUGUUUGUCAUAAGGAUCCUCAAAUCAGCAUUAGUGGCUUUGAUUGAAUUUCAUAUAUCGCUUGUCAAUUUGUUGAUGCAUCUAAUUAAGUCGGAGAAAUUAUACAAGAUGUGUCAGAUAUUUCCAUGAUUUCUGGCAAUGCUGCUUAGAGCUGAUUCAUUAACUUGUGAGUUAAUAAAAGAUGAUUGAGCUUGUAUAGUUGUAUAUAUGGGUGAAGAUUUUACAUAAAAUUUUUAGUACAGAGCAAUUUAAGCAAACAGAUCUGUUGAUAUAUUCCUUUCCAUCGACAAACAAGUUACAUCAACAGAAACACACUUGAAAGAAAUCCCAUUUACAACAGUUGCAAACACAGAUGAUUCGAUCGAUCACUUCUCUCCCAAGCUUUCAAACCUCACUUUCCGGGAACAAAGUUGGUGGCAUAGGACCAAGCGUUGUUGUUAACAGGGUCAGCCAAGUGGUCAGCUAGGUUCUCAAUCGGUCCCUUUCCGGUAACAAUAGCUUGUACGAAGAAUCCGAACAUGGAAAACAUGGCCAGUCUUCCGUUCUUGAGCUCCUUCACCUUAAGCUCAGCAAAAGCCUCAGGAUCGUCUGCAAGCCCCAAGGGGUCAAAGCUCCCACCGGG